AGUAAUGUAUGGGGAUCUGCCCGAUAGAGGGGGAUAACUACUGGAAACGGUGGCUAAUACCGCAUAAUGUCUACGGACCAAAGCAGGGGCUCUUCGGACCUUGCACUAUCGGAUGAACCCAUAUGGGAUUAGCUAGUAGGUGGGGUAAAGGCUCACCUAGGCGACGAUCUCUAACUGGUCUGAGAGGAUGAUCAGCCACACUGGGACUGAGACACGGCCCAG
This 222-nucleotide ribosomal RNA is filed under the name uncultured bacterium. RNAcentral's name for it is "partial 16S ribosomal RNA". It matches the Rfam family "Bacterial small subunit ribosomal RNA", at positions 109 to 334 of the family's 1533-position model. The record is from RNAcentral.